RNAcentral lists this transfer-messenger RNA (402 nucleotides) under Flavobacteriaceae. RNAcentral describes it as "Flavobacterium dinanensis Standard tmRNA". It matches the Rfam family "transfer-messenger RNA". From Rfam's summary of the family: Bacterial tmRNA, also known as 10Sa RNA or SsrA, is named for its dual tRNA and mRNA-like properties. Its role is to liberate the mRNA from a stalled ribosome. The record is from RNAcentral. RNAcentral also lists the same sequence under 1 other name. Lineage: Bacteria; Pseudomonadati; Bacteroidota; Flavobacteriia; Flavobacteriales.
GGGGCCGACCGGUUUUGACAGCGGGUGGAAUUAAAAAGUAAGCACGUCGAGCGCUGAUACACAGCUCGUAAAUAUCAUGUUUCGACUUUUUUAAACGGCGAAGAUAAUUACGCUUUAGCUGCUUAAUUUCCGAAGUAUAGUAGGAACAAGCCUCGUCCUGUUAGACAGGAAAGCUAAAUUCUCCUAAAAAGCCCUGAUUUGCGGCGUUUUGUCAAGGGGAACCGUAAAAGUAAAUCUAGAUGUGUUAGUGCUUCGGAUACACAUCGAAAUUCUAAGAAGCUAAGCAGGCAGCGGUUGUUUUUGAUCAAGUUGCCCUGACGAAAAUUCAAACAAAAACUAAACGUGUAGAAAGCUCUUUGAUUGCUCGUUUGGACGAGGGUUCGAUUCCCUCCGGCUCCACAA